GCUGGGCGUGGUAGCUCACACCUGUAAUCCCAGCACUUUGGGAAGCUGAGGUGGGAGGAUCGCUUGAGUCCAGGGUUUCAAGACCAGCCUGGGCAACAUAGUGAGAUCCCAUCUUUA
This is a non-coding RNA of Pan troglodytes (chimpanzee), 117 nucleotides long. It matches the Rfam family "Metazoan signal recognition particle RNA". From Rfam's summary of the family: The signal recognition particle (SRP) is a universally conserved ribonucleoprotein. It is involved in the co-translational targeting of proteins to membranes. The record is from Rfam. NCBI's taxonomy places the organism in Eukaryota, Metazoa, Chordata, Mammalia, Primates, Hominidae.